This 1602-nucleotide ribosomal RNA is filed under the name Triticum aestivum (bread wheat). RNAcentral describes it as "partial small subunit ribosomal RNA". Lineage: Eukaryota; Viridiplantae; Streptophyta; Magnoliopsida; Poales; Poaceae. The record is from RNAcentral.
AUGGACGUCUCGUCACUCUCCGCUCUCCUGCGCUCAUCGCCAUUCCUCCUCCUCCUCCUCGCCCUGCUGGUGCCAAUCUUCUCCUCCUUGUUCCUCUUCUCUGCCAGGAAGAAGCUCUCUCCGUCCUGCGCCGAUGGCGGCCAGCGGCUGCCUCCGUCGCCGCCGGGGUUUCCCGUCCUCGGCCACCUGCCCCUUCUUGGGUCCCUGCCGCACCGGAAACUCCGGUCGCUGGCGGAGGCGCACGGCCCGGUCAUGCUCCUGCACCUCGGCCGCGUGCCCACCGUCGUGGCCUCCUCGGCCGCCGCGGCGCAGGAGGCCAUGAAGACCCGCGACCUGGCCUUCGCGAGCCGCGCCCAGAUACGCAUGGCCGAGAGGCUCCUCUACGGCCGCGACAUGGUGCUGGCGCCCUACGGCGAGUACUGGCGCCAGGCGCGCCGCGUCUGCGUGGUCCACCUCCUCAACCACCGCCGCAUCCUGUCCUUCCGCCGCGUCCGGGAGCAAGAGGUCGCCGCCCUGCUCGACGGCGUCCGCCGCCGCUCGCUUCACCCGCCGGGCGUGCUGAACCUCAGCGACAUGCUCACCUCCUACUCCAACGCCGUCAUCAAGCGGGCCGCGUUCGGCGACGGGGAGUACGGGAUCGACGGCGACGACGGGGGCGAGAAGCUGAGGAAGGUGCUGGACGACUUCGAGGAGCUGCUGGGGACGCCCACGGUGGGGGAGUUCGUGCCGUGGCUGGCAUGGGUGGACACGCUGACGGGGCUGAAUGCCCGGGCCACGCGCACGUUCGAGGCGCUCGACGGGUUGCUCGAGCGGGUCAUCGCGGACCACCGCAAGCGGCGUCUGGCCGGCGGGCCGGUGGUGGGAGACGGCCUGGACGAUCAGCGGGACUUCGUGGACGUGCUGUUGGACGUGAGCGAGACGGGAGAGGAGGCCGGCGGAGUCCGGUUCGACGUGGUCAGCAUCAAGGCCAUUAUGCUGGAUAUGUUCGCCGCCGCGACAGACACAACCUACACGACAAUGGAGUGGACCAUGGCGGAGCUCAUCAACCACCCGCGCGUGAUGCAGAAGCUCCAGGACGAGAUCCGCGCGGCCGUCAAUGGCGCCGGCCACGUCACGGAGGACCACCUCGGCACGCUGCGCUACCUGAGGGCCGUGAUCAGGGAGACACUCCGGCUGCACGCGCCCCUGCCGCUCCUCUUGCCCCGGGAGACACUCGAGGACACGGAGCUGCUGGGCUACCGCGUCCCGGCGCGGACGCGCGUGGUGAUCAACGCCUGGGCCAUCGGCCGGGACCCGGCGACGUGGGAGCGCGCCGAGGAGUUCGUGCCGGAGCGGUUCGUGGAUGACCCGGCGGAAUAUGGGGCGGGGCAUGACGACUUCAGGGCGGUGCCGUUCGGUGCCGGGAGGAGAGGGUGCCCCGGGGUCGGGUUCGCCGUGCCGUCGAUGGAGCUAGCGCUGGCGGGCCUGCUGUACCAUUUCGACUGGGAGCCGCCGCUGGCGGCCGGCGGGGCAGCGUCGAAGCUGGACUUGAGCGAGCUGUUUGGGAUAUCUGUGCGACUCAAGACGGCGCUGCAUGUGGUUGCUAAGCCGUGGUCUCCUUGA